GGCAGUUUUGUGACCACACACCCACACACCACUAAAUUGUGCUUAUUUUUCUCAUUUUGCAGUCAUCUAGGAGAAACUUGUCAUGGUCUGGACUAGCCUGGCAUGGAAAAAUCCCAGAUCCGUCUGUGAUGCUGCCCAGACUUUAGAGAUGCCAUAAAGGCUACUUAGUAUGCCUCACUCUUUGCUUGUUACUUUUUCUGAACAGAGCUCUGUCAGAAAAAAUUGUCUCGGUCCUGCCAAGGAUGAAAUGCCCACACCAGUUGGAGCCCCACCAGAUCCAAGGGAUGGAUUUUAUUCACAUAUUUCCUGUUGUUCAGUGGCUGGUGAAACGAGCUAUAGAAACAAAAGAAGAGAUGGGUGACUAUAUCCGCUCCUACUCUGUAUCCCAGUUCCAGAAGACUUACAGUCUCCCUGAGGAUGAUGACUUCAUAAAGAGAAAAGAAAAGGCCAUCAAGACAGUUGUGGAC
RNAcentral lists this small RNA (467 nucleotides) under Pongo abelii (Sumatran orangutan). Its description in RNAcentral is "retained intron". Lineage: Eukaryota; Metazoa; Chordata; Mammalia; Primates; Hominidae. The record is from RNAcentral.